GACGAACGCUGGCGGCGUGCUUAACACAUGCAAGUCGAACGGAAAGGCCCUGCUUUUGUGGGGUGCUCGAGUGGCGAACGGGUGAGUAACACGUGAGUAACCUGCCCUUGACUUUGGGAUAACUUCAGGAAACUGGGGCUAAUACCGGAUAGGAGCUCCUGCUGCAUGGUGGGGGUUGGAAAGUUUCGGCGGUUGGGGAUGGACUCGCGGCUUAUCAGCUUGUUGGUGGGGUAGUGGCUUACCAAGGCUUUGCCGGGUAGCCGGCCUGAGAGGGUGACCGGCCACAUUGGGACUGAGAGACGGCCCAGACUCCUACGGGAGGCAGCAGUGGGGAAUAUUGCACAAUGGGCGGAAGCCUGAUGCAGCAACGCCGCGUGCGGGAUGACGGCCUUCGGGUUGUAAACCGCUUUCGCCUGUGACGAAGCGUGAGUGACGGUAAUGGGUAAAGAAGCACCGGCUAACUACGUG
RNAcentral lists this ribosomal RNA (468 nucleotides) under uncultured bacterium. RNAcentral describes it as "partial 16S ribosomal RNA". It matches the Rfam family "Bacterial small subunit ribosomal RNA", at positions 28 to 507 of the family's 1533-position model. The record is from RNAcentral.